RNAcentral lists this transfer RNA (72 nucleotides) under Camelus bactrianus (Bactrian camel). It matches the Rfam family "tRNA". Rfam says of the family: Transfer RNA (tRNA) molecules are approximately 80 nucleotides in length. Their secondary structure includes four short double-helical elements and three loops (D, anti-codon, and T loops). The record is from Rfam by way of RNAcentral. Lineage: Eukaryota; Metazoa; Chordata; Mammalia; Artiodactyla; Camelidae. RNAcentral also lists the same sequence under 2 other names.
GAGGGUAUAGCUCAGCAGUAGAGCGUGUGUUUAGCAUGCAGGAGGUCCUGGGUUCCAUCCCCGGUAUUUCUG